This 3693-nucleotide long non-coding RNA is filed under the name Pan troglodytes (chimpanzee). Its description in RNAcentral is "lincRNA". Lineage: Eukaryota; Metazoa; Chordata; Mammalia; Primates; Hominidae. The record is from RNAcentral.
GAAUCCAGGAAUUGGAAGGAAGAGAAAACAGUUCUCUAUUCACGCUAGUUAACUAAUCAAUUCAAUAUGUAUUAACUGAGCACGCUACAUGCUAGGCACUCUUCUAAGUGCAGGGGAGACAGCAGUGAAGAAAGCAGACAAAGUCUCUGAACUCCUGUGUCUUCUAUUCAAAUGGGGAAGAUGAACAAUGAACAGAUAACAAUAAUAGAAGAAUGCGUGACCUAUCCAAUCCUUCCUCUCAUGGAAACACCAACUCAUCCAUGCCCUCUGUGCUGAAACUUCGUCUCAGCCUGCUGGAAUCACCUGCACCCCAUGGGAACUGUAGCCAUAUCUUCAGUCCUGUGAGCCCCCGUCAUGGCCUGUCACAGGAGUAAAUGAGGAGUAAGGCCCAGAAUACUCAGUACCUCUCAAUGACCCUCAGACGCUGUAGGAAGAGGAUUGGUUCACCUUUUAACCCAGAAUUUCUCACAUUGAAUGGACAGGAUGCAUUCCAAGAGGCCAGAGUAUUUGCAUCUCAGCUCCUGAUGGUUUCCACCACCACCAUUACUUUCUCUAUGUCAAGAUACCUGGGAAGCCGGAGACAGGCAGCCCACGCACUGCAGUGAUGAAAGGACUCUCCAACGAGGCAGACAGGAACCCCGCAGUUGGGAAUACAGAGCCUUCUCCUAUGGGAAGACCACAGGAAAAAGAAACACCCAAGGGGGAGGCAUGAGUCUUUGUGAAAGUUGUUUUAAGGCAGAGUAUCAUAUCGCAUCAAAACUGCUCCAUAAGUCCUGCCACUCCACGUGCAAUGCCAUGAACUUGAAGAAAUUGCUGGUAAGAGAAAGCAAAUGCUGUGACCAGGCAACUGCUGCAAACCAAUGGGCUUUGGGGAACUGUGCUUCCCUUCAGAAAGGAAAGAGUAUUUAACGAUGAAAAGGAAGGAAUGUGUCUUACUUAUACUUAGGGGCUUGUGGUUCAGCAGAGACCACACUGGACUGGACUGAACAGACAACUGAAGGGCUCUCUCUACCUUUCAGCAUCUCUGUCUGCCUUUCUGACUACCUAAAAAUUACUGCAACCUCUGAUUCUGUUUCUAAGGUGGAUUUUCCCUACUCAUGCUUCCUAGAGAUUUGGUGAGGAUUUGUUGAGUCAUGGGACAUUUCAGCUUGCCAAGGCUCCUUUGCUGGCUGACUUUCUACUAAUUCUGCAGCUGGAUGCAGCAGAAGAGGAUGGAAGGCAGAAGGAAGGGAAAAGUGGCUUCCUUCCCGAUUACUGCCAGUCCUGUCAGUGUUGCCCAAGACUGCCAAUUUGUUCCACCAGCAGCAGUUUCUUCGGACUUCUGCCUCAGUGUUUUCCAGCAGUCCCAAUGAGAGGUGACAACGCGCUAGCAGCCCUCACUUACUCUUGGCCUCUCCUGGGCCUCGGCGUCCACUCUGGCUGUGCUUGAGGAGCCCUUCAGCCCGCCGCUGCACUGUGGGAGCCCCUCUCUGGGCUGGCUGAGGCCGGAGCCAGCUCCCUCUGCUUGCAGGGAGAAGAAUCUUGGUCAUCCAGAAAGCUUGCUAUAGCUGCCCAGCAUUUGCCUCCUCCACAAAGAAGGACCAAAAGAACAAGUAGACAAUCACAUGCCAAAUAAAAUGUCUAAAGGAGAGCACUGAAGCUCAGCAAAAACGUUACAAAGACCCUCUGAGGUGCAGAAACUCGGGAUGGCAGCACAAAGAGGCAAGCAAAGCAGCCAGUCAGGAUCAGCUCACAGUCAAGGGCGCCCCGCCUUGAGUAGGAAACGUAAGCAGGAGAUGCCCUGCAGGCAACAUUCCCACCACAAAUGCCUGCAAGCCUAGCUGUAGGAGAGCCUCGCAGUGUUGAGCCCAGUGCGGGAGCUGCCUGGAGUCUCUGUGACUACAUUACUCCAGAGAGGCCACUGGGUCCCUCCUUAGUCCCUGGGACCCAAGCUGCUGCAGCACAGUAUCAUUUUGAGGACAGAGCCACUGCCAGAAUGCUUCCUGUCCUGGGGCCUGGUAACCCCUGCAUGUCCUCAUCACUGGAGCCCCAAUAUCAUUCCACAGUUGUAUGAGGAGUAAAAAUAACUAUAAAUAAAGAUAACUCAAGAAUUCUAUAAGCAAGCAUACACAUGAAAUUCAUUUUAUAAGAGGAAAGCUAACUCCAUCUCUCUUGAAAUAUGGAAUAGGUUCUUGAAGCAAUUCUAAAUGCUGAUCUGCUGGAAUGAUGGCUUCAUUGCACAAGAAUUCUGCUUAGUUCAUUGAAGUCUCCUUGAAGAAGUCAGUCUGAGAAUGGGGGAAUUCCAUUGUUGGUCAGAAGAAUUCUUUGGUCACUAUUGGAAGUGGGUUCAGUUUAGGGUGACUAUUGAUCAACAGGAUUCAUGGGUUUGCUAAAACUCAUUUCAGGCAAGCUUUGGAAGUGCAGUUCGCUUGGUGCUUAGGGGGUUAAAAACAGGAGGAAGAGAAUUUCACAUUAUUGGAGGGCCUGAAAGGAAACUGAUUCCCGCAAGAUGCUCAGACAAGAUCAAACCCAGCCCCUUUUCUGGUUUGGAAUUUCUCUGGGCUAUAAAGGUAGAAGAAAAGGCCCUGCAUGGGCCCACUCUAAGUGCUUGGAGGUUUUAGAUAAUUUUAUUAAAUUGUAGCAAUCUUAAACAGAACUACAAGGUUGCUUUUAAAACCAGAUCUCAGAUUUCUUUGAGCUAACAAAUGGUAAAAUGUAUCUUUAGUAUUAGAGUGAGAUAAAGGUAGUUAUAACUUUUUUUUUUUACUUAUUUUAUGUUAACGUAUGCAACAAAGGGUACAAAUUGUAGGUACGCAGCUCAUUUAAUUUUUAUGUCUGCACAUGCCUAUGAAACCAACACCCAGAGUAAGAUGUGGAUAAUUUUCUGCUCCCCUGAAAAUUCCCUUGUGCCUUUUCCUCAUCAGUACCUCCAAAGGUAACCACUAUUUUGAUUUCCAUUACCAUAGAUGAGUUAUACUUGUUUUUGAAAAGAUUAUUUGAAAUGUGUAAUAUAAAUAAUAGCAGUUGCUUAUCUUACAGAAAUAUCACUGAGAAUUCAUUUCUUCUCUCCUUCAUUUAUUCAUUUGUUCAAAACACUGUCUAGUACCAACAUUGUCCACUGGGCAUUGAGAAUACAAUAUUGAAGAAGAGUCACUGCCUGCCCUCUGGAAAAAUCAGAGUAUUUGAAAGAAUACACACAAGUAAACAGGCAGCUAUGGCAAAGUGGGUAAAAGCUGCAAAACAGGGAAGUUUCGCCAAGUGUCAGAUGCCAAGAAGUGUCAGAUGCCAAGAAGAAAGGGUGCACGACAUAGACUUGGGGGGGGUCAGUAGUGGUUUCUGGAACGAGUGACAUUUAGACUGAAACUGGAAGGAUAUGAGUAAGGGCUAAUCGGACCAAGAUGAAGAGAUACAGAAGCAGAAGGAACAGUAGGAACAAAUGCGCAGAGGCAAAAGAAAGCUUUGAAUAUUUGAGGAACUGAAAAGCAAAACAACAAAAAAUAGCCAUCCCUUGACUAGACAAGUGACCUGGGGUCAGAUCCUGAAGGGCUUUGCAGAUCACUUUUCCGCUUGUAGACUUUGUACUUGACUUUAAGGGCCAUGGAGAGCCACUGAAGCAUUUUCAGCAAGGGACUGUCAUCAGCAGAUUGGUAUUUGUUUUGAAGUAGCACAUGUAAGAGAAAAUAACAAUAUGGACAAAUAAAGAGUUUGAAAAAC